GCUGCUUACAUUUGGAAUGUCGCCGGAAAAUUAUGAAAGAGAAAUAAAAUUUAAUUAAUGUCGUUUACAAUUAUAAUUCUUUAAAAAUGGUAUCUUUUGGAAAACGCGUAUAUUGAUGGAUUGAAGGAGGCCCGAGAAAAAUAAUUGAAAAAAUAAAACUACUAAUUAACAUGUACCCUUUUUGCAAGCAUUGUUAACGUGAUAGAAAGAACAGUUGCUUUGAUGAUUGAUGAAUCCACCUGAGCCGCGCAGUUAUCGCCGUCAACUCGCACACUGGACAGCUUCGGAUACCGAAUGAACACGCUAGGGCACAUAGUCAACCAACAAUGCAUACCGAUCCGUCGUCUACCUCUUUGAACAAUAUAAUAUACGAUGUAUAUAAAUGUAUUCUAUACAUCUAUAUACACAUAACAGCCGUAUAUUGUAUGGCUACGAUGGCACUUUGUAAAAGGGACGAAUGUUCACUAUAGCUGUCUAUAUCAUUCUUAAUGAUAAUUAUCAUUUAGAUCAAAUGUAUAAAUAUAUUAUAUUGUCAUGUAGUUGGAUAUUUUCAAGAAGUACGGUUGUUAAAUUUGAUUGUUUCGGAAUAAAUUUAUUAGUAUUUUUUUUUUAUCAGAUAUUGUAUCAAUGCCAAUUGAAUUUUUCAACAGAGCUUUUGUAAAUAUGUUUGUAACAAUA
Long non-coding RNA from Cotesia glomerata, 678 nucleotides. RefSeq lists it as uncharacterized. The transcript has 2 exons. The record is from RefSeq and is a predicted model, not a curated record. NCBI's taxonomy places the organism in Eukaryota, Metazoa, Arthropoda, Insecta, Hymenoptera, Braconidae.